Molecule: ribosomal RNA, 484 nt
Filed under: uncultured bacterium
Lineage: Bacteria
Description: partial 16S ribosomal RNA
Rfam family: Bacterial small subunit ribosomal RNA
Source: RNAcentral
GAUGAACGCUAGCUACAGGCUUAACACAUGCAAGUCGAGGGGCAGCAUGACCUAGCAAUAGGUUGAUGGCGACCGGCGCACGGGUGAGUAACACGUAUCCAACCUGCCGAUUAUUCCGGGAUAGCCUUUCGAAAGAAAGAUUAAUACUGGAUAGCAUAACGAGAAGGCAUCUUCUUGUUAUUAAAGAAUUUCGAUAAUCGAUGGGGAUGCGUUCCAUUAGUUUGUUGGCGGGGUAACGGCCCACCAAGACAUCGAUGGAUAGGGGUUCUGAGAGGAAGGUCCCCCACAUUGGAACUGAGACACGGUCCAAACUCCUACGGGAGGCAGCAGUGAGGAAUAUUGGUCAAUGGACGAGAGUCUGAACCAGCCAAGUAGCGUGAAGGAUGACUGCCCUAUGGGUUGUAAACUUCUUUUAUAUGGGAAUAAAGUGGGCCACGUGUGGCUUUUUGUAUGUACCAUACGAAUAAGGAUCGGCUACUCCGUG